RNAcentral lists this ribosomal RNA (402 nucleotides) under uncultured bacterium. Its description in RNAcentral is "bacterial SSU rRNA". It matches the Rfam family "Bacterial small subunit ribosomal RNA", at positions 355 to 774 of the family's 1533-position model. The record is from RNAcentral.
UCGGGAAUUUUGGGCAAUGGGCGAAAGCCUGACCCAGCAACGCCGCGUGAGGGAUGAAGUAUUUCGGUAUGUAAACCUCGAAAGAAUGGGAAGAAUAAAUGACGGUACCAUUUAUAAGGUCCGGCUAACUACGUGCCAGCAGCCGCGGUAAUACGUAGGGACCAAGCGUUGUUCGGAUUUACUGGGCGUAAAGGGCGCGUAGGCGGCAAUUCAAGUCAGCUGUGAAAUCUCUGGGCUUAACCCGGAACGGCCAGCUGAUACUGCUUUGCUAGAGUGCGGAAGGGGCAAUCGGAAUUCUUGGUGUAGCGGUAAAAUGCGUAGAUAUCAAGAGGAACACCUGAGGUGAAGACGGGUUGCUGGGCCGACACUGACGCUGAGGCGCGAAAGCCAGGGGAGCAAACG